ACGGAAGGCAGCAGUGGGGAAUAUUGCACAAUGGGGGAAACCCUGAUGCGGCGACGCCGCGUGAGCGAAGAAGUAUUUCGGUAUGUAAAGCUCUAUCAGCAGGGAAGAAAAUGACGGUACCUGACUAAGAAGCCCCGGCUAACUACGUGCCAGCAGCCGCGGUAAUACGUAGGGGGCAAGCGUUAUCCGGAUUUACUGGGUGUAAAGGGAGCGUAGACGGAAUGGCAAGUCUGAUGUGAAAGGCUGGGGCUCAACCCCGGGACUGCAUUGGAAACUGUCAAUCUAGAGUACCGGAGGGGUAAGUGGAAUUCCUAGUGUAGCGGUGAAAUGCGUAGAUAUUAGGAGGAACACCAGUGGCGAAGGCGGCUUACUGGACGGUAACUGACGUUGAGGCUCGAAAGCGUGGGGAGCAAACAGGAUUAGAUACCCUGGUA
This 434-nucleotide ribosomal RNA is filed under the name uncultured Lachnospiraceae bacterium. Its description in RNAcentral is "bacterial SSU rRNA". It matches the Rfam family "Bacterial small subunit ribosomal RNA", at positions 341 to 792 of the family's 1533-position model. The record is from RNAcentral. Lineage: Bacteria; Bacillati; Bacillota; Clostridia; Lachnospirales; Lachnospiraceae.